Long non-coding RNA from Pipistrellus kuhlii (Kuhl's pipistrelle), 557 nucleotides. RefSeq lists it as uncharacterized. The record is from RefSeq and is a predicted model, not a curated record. The transcript has 3 exons. Lineage: Eukaryota; Metazoa; Chordata; Mammalia; Chiroptera; Vespertilionidae.
CCCCUUCAGCUCGGCCUCCUUCCGCAUAUCUGGGGCCCGCCCACUUCUCCGGCCGGAAAGCGGCUCUGAGCGGCUGCGCGAGGCGGGGCCAAGAAGGCACCCUGUGGGCGGGGCCCCGGCGGACUCCGCCCCUCCCCGCCCCGCCCCGCCCCGAGGAGCCCAACAGGAAGGGAAAAGCGGGGCGGAACCGGAGGGCGUGGCUGGCCGGAGCGGUGACUACAGUGGAGACGGGAGUGUCCUUUGCAGGAGUUUGAGGUGGGGAUUUCCAGGUUGCGUCAUUUCCCAGCCUGAUCUCCGCGAGAAGUUUGCCCUGGUUGGGUGGAUCAAUUGGUUAGAGGACCAAAGGUUGUGGAUUUGACUUCCAGUCUGGGCACAUACACAAGAUGGCUGGAGCCCAAGCAGCCACAUGAGACUAUGAAUUGGAAGUCACCUAUGGUGGAUAACAAAGCAACAGAAAAGAAGUCUGGAUUCCUGAAGGCUAUGGAGCAAUCAUUUAUUCCUGGACUGUUUACCUCUGGACUUUCUUGAUAUAAGAGAGAAUAAACAUCCUGCUUAAA